RNAcentral lists this ribosomal RNA (912 nucleotides) under uncultured crenarchaeote. RNAcentral describes it as "bacterial SSU rRNA". It matches the Rfam family "Archaeal small subunit ribosomal RNA", at positions 1 to 922 of the family's 1478-position model. The record is from RNAcentral. Lineage: Archaea; Thermoproteati; Thermoproteota.
UUCCGGUUGAUCCCGCCGGACCCGACUGCUAUCAGAGUGGGACUAAGCCAUGCGAGUCAACGUAGAAAUACGUGGCAAACGGCUCAGUAACACGUAGUCAACAUGCCCAGGGGACGUGGAUAACCUCGGGAAACUGAGGAUAAACCGCGAUAGGCCAUGAUUUCUGGAAUGGUUCAUGGCCGAAAUCUAUAUGGCCCCUGGAUUGGACUGCGGCCGAUCAGGCUGUUGGUGAGGUAAUGGCCCACCAAACCUAAAACCGGUACGGGCUCUGAGAGGAGAAGCCCGGAGAUGGGCACUGAGACAAGGGCCCAGGCCCUAUGGGGCGCAGCAGGCGCGAAAACUCUGCAAUAGGCGAAAGCUUGACAGGGUUACUCUGAGUGAUUCCCGCUAAGGGAAUCUUUUGGCAUCUCUAAAAAUGGUGCAGAAUAAGGGGUGGGCAAGUCUGGUGUCAGCCGCCGCGGUAAUACCAGCACCCCGAGUGGUCGGGACGAUUAUUGGGCCUAAAGCAUCCGUAGCCGGUCUUGCAAGUCCUCCGUUAAAUCCAGCUGCUUAACAGAUGGGCUGCGGAGGAUACUACAAGGCUAGGAGGCGGGAGAGGCAAGCGGUACUCAGUGGGUAGGGGUAAAAUCCUCUGAUCCAUUGAAGACCACCAGUGGCGAAGGCGGCUUGCCAGAACGCGCUCGACGGUGAGGGAUGAAAGCUGGGGGAGCAAACCGGAUUAGAUACCCGGGUAGUCCCAGCUGUAAACGAUGCAGACUCGGUGAUGAAUAGGCUUCGCGCCUAUUCAGUGCCGCAGGGAAGCCGUUAAGUCUGCCGCCUGGGGAGUACGGUCGCAAGACUGAAACUUAAAGGAAUUGGCGGGGGAGCACCACAAGGGGUGAAGCCUGCGGUUCAAUUGGAGUCAACGCCGGA